UUAGAGUUUGAUCCUGGCUCAGAACGAACGCUGGCGGCGUGGAUUAGGCAUGCAAGUUGAACGUGAUCAUGAAGUUUGAUGCUUCGGUUGAGAGCUUCAUGUGAAAGUAGCGAACGGGUGAGUAACGCGUGGGCAAUUUGCCCUUAAGUGCGGGAUAGCUUCUCGAAAGGGAAGGUAAUACCGCAUGUGGUGACCCUGCGCCUGCAGGGGACUCUAAAGGUGGGGAUCUUCGGACCUGCCGCUUAAGGAUGAGCCCGCGUCCCAUCAGCUAGUUGGUAGGGUAACGGCCUACCAAGGCUUUGACGGGUAGCUGGUCUGAGGGGAUGGUCAGCCACACUGGGACUGAGACACUGCCCAGACUCCUACGGGAGGCUGCAGUCGAGAAUCAUUGUCAAUGCACGAAAGUGUGAACAUGCGACGCCGCGUGCAGGAUGAAGGCCUUCGGGUUGUAAACUGCUGUCAUGAGGGAACAAUAGCCGGUCGGCCAAUACCCGGCCGGCUGGAUGGACCUCAGGAGAAGCCACGGCAA
This 529-nucleotide ribosomal RNA is filed under the name uncultured bacterium. RNAcentral describes it as "bacterial SSU rRNA". It matches the Rfam family "Bacterial small subunit ribosomal RNA", at positions 1 to 499 of the family's 1533-position model. The record is from RNAcentral.